GACGAACGCUGGCGGCGUGCUUAACACAUGCAAGUCGAGCGGUAAGGCCCUUUCGGGGGUACGACGAGCGGCGAACGGGUGAGUAACACGUGGGUGACCUGCCUUUAGCUCUGGGAUAAGCCUGGGAAACCGGGUCUAAUACCGGAUAUGACUCCGCGGCGCAUGUUGUGGGGUGGAAAGCCUUGUGCGGCUGGAGAUGGGCCCGCGGCCUAUCAGCUUGUUGGUGGGGUGAUGGCCUACCAAGGCGACGACGGUAGCCGGCCUGAGAGGGCGACCGGCCACACUGGGACUGAGACACGGCCCAGACUCCUACGGGAGGCAGCAGUGGGGAAUCUUGCGCAAUGGGCGAAAGCCUGACGCAGCGACGCCGCGUGAGGGAUGACGGCC
This 387-nucleotide ribosomal RNA is filed under the name uncultured bacterium. RNAcentral's name for it is "bacterial SSU rRNA". It matches the Rfam family "Bacterial small subunit ribosomal RNA", at positions 28 to 416 of the family's 1533-position model. The record is from RNAcentral.